RNAcentral lists this ribosomal RNA (494 nucleotides) under uncultured bacterium. RNAcentral describes it as "partial 16S ribosomal RNA". It matches the Rfam family "Bacterial small subunit ribosomal RNA", at positions 30 to 523 of the family's 1533-position model. The record is from RNAcentral.
AUUGAACGCUGGCGGCAUGCCUUACACAUGCAAGUCGAACGGUAGAGGGGCAACCCUUGAGAGUGGCGAACGGGUGAGUAGCGUAUCGGAACGUGCCCGAUCGUGGGGGAUAACGUAGCGAAAGUUACGCUAAUACCGCAUACGAUCUGAGGAUGAAAGCGGGGGACCGAAGGGCCUCGCGCGAUCGGAGUGGCCGAUAUCAGAUUAGGUAGUUGGUGGGGUAAAGGCCUACCAAGCCGACGAUCUGUAGCUGGUCUGAGAGGACGACCAGCCACGCUGGGACAUAUACACGGCACAGACUCCGACGGGAGGCAGCAGUUGGGAAUUUUGGACAAUGGGCGCAAGCCUUAUCCAGCAAUGCCGCGUGCAGGACGAAGACCUUCGGGUUGUAAACUGCUUUUGUACGGAGCGAAAAGGUCUUCUCUAAUACAGGGGGCUGAUGACGGUACCGUAAGAAUAAGCACCGGCUAACUACGUGCCAGCCGCCGCUGUAA